Long non-coding RNA from Carassius gibelio (silver crucian carp), 2484 nucleotides. RefSeq lists it as uncharacterized. The record is from RefSeq and is a predicted model, not a curated record. Lineage: Eukaryota; Metazoa; Chordata; Actinopteri; Cypriniformes; Cyprinidae. The transcript is spliced from 3 exons.
GCAUACUCAUCAGCUGUGAUCAGCUGGCCUACUUGUUUGGGAAGUCUGCUCAAGGCCGGAGUCCAAUCUGAAUUGUGUGUGAAAGACGGAAUAAAUGUGAGGCCUUUCAUGAGCAGGGAUGACUGUGAGGGAGAGAGAGUAAAGUGUUUGGAAAGAUUCACAACAAGCCUGUGUGCACCCUUUCUCGGGUGUUCACUCACUGCAAGUUUAAAUAUCGUGCCCAGUGUUCCAACAUGUUCCUGGCUGUCUCUGCAGUCCAGUGCAGGCCGUCACUCUCUACCUGAAACUGAUCCUCUGGCAGGAGGGGGAUGAAGGAAUAAUUUUCCUCUAUGUAAUUGUUCAAUUCAUCUAAAAAUAUUUUUUCUCCUUCUGGGAGAGAUUGGGGGAUAUUGAUCAGGGGGAUCCACAGUUGGGCCUCUGGCAGUCUCUCUUGUGCCACCUGACUCAAUCUGGCACACUCUCUCAUCGCUGAGAUGCGUAAUCUUUGUGUGCGGUUAUUCAGGCCGAAUGCCAAGACUAUUUUUUCUACUUGUGUGUCUACUGUAGCUUUUUCUAUCAGAUUGGCCGCGUGCUGCAAUUUAGCCCCUGGAAAACUGUCAAUCUGUAAAUCAGGAAUGUCAAAAGCAGGAAUCCUGCUCAAAUUGGAGUCCCCGAUGACCACGUGUUUCUCUUUGAGUGCCAGUUUCCACUCAUUGAACUUCUUGUUAGUUCUAAGAGAUAAUGUUUUCCAUUUUUUUGGAAGUUUCCCCCCUCUCUGUCUCCUGAGGAGCCCCUGGUUGAAGAGAUGUCACAGAAUAUUCUGAAAAAUCAAAGUCUGAGAGAUUUGGUGACCCUGACGGAUUUUGGAAGAUCUGGGCACUCUCAGCUGUGUCCCUUAGAGGAUUUACUCUAUGUACUGCAUUGGCUACAAUGGGGACCAGAGAAGGCAGGCCUGUGGUUAUCGGGGCCUCAGCCUCAGAGGGGGCAAAAGGAGAGAAAAGUUCCUGUGACAGCUGACCCGUAAACUCAUCUAAAUCAUCCAGUCUGUCACCCUGUGCAGGAGUUAACUGAUCCUCCUCCUCAUCAUCAUCAUCAAAACUCACUAAGAGAUUUUUCUCAGCUUGUUCUGUAACGACUGGUGGAGUUUUUGGUCUCUGUUCUGUCAGGUGUUUUUUCUUUUCUGGUCUUUUCCCCUUAGGAGACUGUAUAGGGGCCUGUAUAGGGGCCUGUACAGGAGGGUUCAGAGGUGGAAAAUCAUCUCCCAGAAGCCAGUCGUUCCUCAUAGGAGACCAGCCUGACAUUAAAGUGGGCGAUGUUUGUAUCUGGAUGUGUGUGACCCCUGUCUUAGGUCUGACGACCCCUGUGUUGACCGUUUCUGUCCCCUGCUGAGCUGAGGCUAGAUCUGCACCACUAACCACCUGAGCAAAUGUUCUGUUGCUACUGGUUUCAGAAUUCGAUGGUACUCUAGACCCGGAUGGAGUCCCAGAACGCAAUUCGGUCAGGACCAAAGUUUCGGCCUGCUGAAUUGCCCUCUGGGAGAUCCUUUUGCCAAAAUUUCUCAUCGCCCAUUUUACAGCGAUCUCAAAAGCGUGUAACCAGUCUUUUCUCUGUGUCUCUCCCCGUAAGAUCCCCAGUGUGUGCUUUAUGAUAUCCUCAUAAUGUUGCUGUAACACCAACUGUGUCGUAAACGCCCAGUUCUUUGCAUUACCCUCCAGCAAUUCUUUUGUGGACAUUGUGGGGGCAAAGGGUUUGAUCACACUUUUAAGAAGCUCUGUUAACCUUUUAAGAGUGACAGGCUGGUUAUCUUCUAUCCGUGUGUCAAUAUUACUGAGGUGAUGGACAGAUCUGAUCAGAUGAUACAUAUUCUUAAUAAUUCUCCGAAAAGUGGGAGAAGCAGGAGAGUAUUCUGUAUUUUUUUGUGAAUCAAAGUGAGUUUUUUGGCCCAUUCUUUUUUUCUGGUGAACAUAUUUUUGUGCAAACUGGCCAUUCUCACGUCUCCUGUUCUUUUCUACAUUACGAGGAGAAUAUUGUGUGUUUCUGUAUCUCUGGUCAGUAAACCUGUUCUGUUCAGUGGGGUAAAAAAUCCUAUUUUGCCCAAAAGUCACUCUCUUUUGUUUGGGUUUAAAUCCCCGAUUUAAAGGGCGUCGAUCACGUGACUGACGACGGAAAGGAUUUACAGUAUUCUCCGAUCGAGUUUCAUUCUGUACUCUGUUACUGUAACCCGCGAGUGAUUCUCCGUGUCUGAUGACCUCAUAUGGGAAGUCACGAGAUCGCUCGACAAAAUAAUCGUCCCUCAUAAAUCGUCCCCGUCUGGGGAAAUCCCUGUUAUCUGUGUGAGGGAUCAGACGCGCUCGAGGGGUCGUGAAACGACCCUUGUUCUGAAAAACGAACACCAUCCUUAUUUUACUGAACGAUCAAAUCCACAACUGUGUAUUCUUUUAAUCUUUUAUUCUAUUUCUGAAAAUGAAAAAAAAUGUUUUUUUUGUCCUUUUAUAUUUUUUUAAC